CGAAAGCCUGACGGAGCAACGCCGUCGUGAGGGACGAAGGCCUCUGGGCUGUAAACCUCUUUUCUCAAGGAAGAAGAUAUGACGGUACUUGAGGAAUAAGCCACGGCUAAUUCCGUGCCAGCAGCCGCGGUAAUACGGGAGUGGCAAGCGUUAUCCGGAAUUAUUGGGCGUAAAGCGUCCGCAGGCGGCUUUUCAAGUCUGCUGUUAAAGCGUGGAGCUUAACUCCAUCAUGGCAGUGGAAACUGAAAGGCUUGAGUAUGGUAGGGGCAGAGGGAAUUCCCGGUGUAGCGGUGAAAUGCGUAGAUAUCGGGAAGAACACCAGUGGCGAAGGCGCUCUGCUGGGCCAUUACUGACGCUCAUGGACGAAAGCCAGGGGAGCGAAAG
This 384-nucleotide ribosomal RNA is filed under the name uncultured cyanobacterium. Its description in RNAcentral is "bacterial SSU rRNA". It matches the Rfam family "Bacterial small subunit ribosomal RNA", at positions 376 to 774 of the family's 1533-position model. Lineage: Bacteria; Bacillati; Cyanobacteriota. The record is from RNAcentral.